Molecule: ribosomal RNA, 353 nt
Filed under: Amanita fuliginea
Lineage: Eukaryota; Fungi; Basidiomycota; Agaricomycetes; Agaricales; Amanitaceae
Description: eukaryotic LSU rRNA
Rfam family: 5.8S ribosomal RNA (bases 1-105)
Source: RNAcentral
GAAAUGCGAUAAGUAAUGUGAAUUGCAGAAUUCAGUGAAUCAUCGAAUCUUUGAACGCACCUUGCGCUCCUUGGCAUUCCAAGGAGCAUGCCUGUUUGAGUGUCAUUGAAAUCUCAAGGCCUGUCUGAAUUUGAUAGGUAUUGGAUUUUGGGGGUUGCAGGCUUUUUUAAAAAAAAUAGCCUGCUCUCCUUGAAUGUAUUAGUGGAGAAAAGGCCAUUUGAACUCCAUUGGUGUGAUAUAAGCUAUCAAUGCCAGGAGUAUGUUGGUCCUAUCUGCUGUCUAACUGUUUGGAAAGACCAGACAACUUGACCCAACUUGACCUCAAAUCAGGUAGGACUACCCGCUGAACUUAA